This 498-nucleotide ribosomal RNA is filed under the name Triticum aestivum (bread wheat). RNAcentral's name for it is "partial small subunit ribosomal RNA". Lineage: Eukaryota; Viridiplantae; Streptophyta; Magnoliopsida; Poales; Poaceae. The record is from RNAcentral.
AUGAUUCCUCUUUUUGAUCAGGAAAUUUGGGAUGUUGUUAAAACUGCCAAUUCCAAUGCUCCUUCUGGGCCAGACGGCUUCUCCAUUCCUUUUUUUCGGAAAUUUUGGCCCCAGUUGAAACAGCUGGUUUGUAAUGUUAUCCAGGGUUUUUGUCUUGGCACUGUCGAUAUCUCCCGCCUGAACUACGCAGUGAUAUCCCUGAUCCUCAAGGUUAAGGGUGCUGAUGUUAUUUCCCAAUUUCGGCCUAUUGCUUUGAUUAACAACUUUGCCAAAUUCCCAGCUAAAGGCUUUGCGAAUCGUUUGUCGCUGGUUGCUCAUAGAGUUAUUAGUCCUUAUCAAUCUGCUUUCAUCAAAGGGCGUUUCAUCCUCGAUGGUAUCCUAUCCCUUCACGAGAUUGUUCACGAUCUUCACGCUCGUAGAGCUAAAGCGAUUAUCCUUAAGUUAGAUUUUGAGAAAGCUUAUGACUCGGUUAGCUGGCCCUUCCUCAAGCAGGUCCUU